Molecule: ribosomal RNA, 418 nt
Filed under: uncultured bacterium
Lineage: Bacteria
Description: bacterial SSU rRNA
Rfam family: Bacterial small subunit ribosomal RNA
Source: RNAcentral
UGGGGAAUAUUGGGCAAUGGGCGCAAGCCUGACCCAGCAACGCCGCGUGAAGGAAGAAGGCCCUCGGGUUGUAAACUUCUUUUAACAGGGACGAAGAAAGUGACGGUACCUGUUGAAUAAGCCACGGCUAACUACGUGCCAGCAGCCGCGGUAAUACGUAGGUGGCAAGCGUUAUCCGGAUUUACUGGGUGUAAAGGGCGUGUAGGCGGGACUGCAAGUCAGAUGUGAAAACCAUGGGCUCAACCCAUGGCCUGCAUUUGAAACUGUAGUUCUUGAGUGUUGGAGAGGCAGGCGGAAUUCCGUGUGUAGCGGUGAAAUGCGUAGAUAUACGGAGGAACACCAGUGGCGAAGGCGGCCUGCUGGACAAUAACUGACGCUGAGGCACGAAAGCGCGGGUAUCGAACAGGAUUAGAUACCC